This 314-nucleotide small nuclear RNA is filed under the name Tupaia belangeri (northern tree shrew). RNAcentral's name for it is "7SK RNA (ENSTBEG00000020323.1)". It matches the Rfam family "7SK RNA". From Rfam's summary of the family: 7SK was discovered as an abundant small nuclear RNA in the mid-70s but a possible function has only recently been suggested. Two independent studies have found that 7SK RNA binds the CDK9/cyclin T complex (known as elongation factor P-TEFb). The record is from RNAcentral. Lineage: Eukaryota; Metazoa; Chordata; Mammalia; Scandentia; Tupaiidae.
GCAUGUGAAGGCGAUCUGGCUGCAACCUCUGUCACCCCAUAGACUGAGAGGGUUAAUCUGGCUGGCCAGGCUGGUGUCCUCUUCCUCUCUCACAGCUCCAUGUGGGUCCUUCCCAAAGCCACAUGCUCUGAUGAGGGGAUGAUCUUCCUGGGUAGAGGAGGCCCGUUCUUUAUCAAGGGUAUACAAGUAGCUGCACUCCUCUGCUAGAACCUUCCAAUAAGCUCCACAUAUUUCUGACUGUGGCACCUUCACUCUACAAAUGUCCCUUGAAUGUGAACUUAAGCAAAGCCAUAUCUCCAGAUGAAUCUAACUUU